This 684-nucleotide ribosomal RNA is filed under the name Billgrantia desiderata. RNAcentral describes it as "bacterial SSU rRNA". It matches the Rfam family "Bacterial small subunit ribosomal RNA", at positions 70 to 747 of the family's 1533-position model. Lineage: Bacteria; Pseudomonadati; Pseudomonadota; Gammaproteobacteria; Oceanospirillales; Halomonadaceae. The record is from RNAcentral.
CACGGGAAGCUUGCUUCCUGGUGGCGAGCGGCGGACGGGUGAGUAAUGCAUAGGAAUCUGCCCGGUAGUGGGGGAUAACCUGGGGAAACCCAGGCUAAUACCGCAUACGUCCUACGGGAGAAAGCAGGGGCUCUUCGGACCUUGCGCUAUCGGAUGAGCCUAUGUCGGAUUAGCUGGUUGGUGAGGUAAUGGCUCACCAAGGCGACGAUCCGUAGCUGGUCUGAGAGGAUGAUCAGCCACAUCGGGACUGAGACACGGCCCGAACUCCUACGGGAGGCAGCAGUGGGGAAUAUUGGACAAUGGGCGCAAGCCUGAUCCAGCCAUGCCGCGUGUGUGAAGAAGGCCCUCGGGUUGUAAAGCACUUUCAGUGGGGAAGAAAGCCUGGUGGUUAAUACCCGUCAGGAAGGACAUCACCCACAGAAGAAGCACCGGCUAACUCCGUGCCAGCAGCCGCGGUAAUACGGAGGGUGCGAGCGUUAAUCGGAAUUACUGGGCGUAAAGCGCGCGUAGGUGGGUUGAUAAGCCGGUUGUGAAAGCCCCGGGCUCAACCUGGGGAACGGCAUCCGGAACUGUCAGGCUAGAGUGCAUGAGAGGAAGGUAGAAUUCCCGGUGUAGCGGUGAAAUGCGUAAAGAUCGGGAGGAAUACCAGUGGCGAAGGCGGCCUUCUGGACUGACACUGACACU